This is a non-coding RNA of Equus caballus (horse), 596 nucleotides long. NCBI's taxonomy places the organism in Eukaryota, Metazoa, Chordata, Mammalia, Perissodactyla, Equidae. The record is from RefSeq and is a predicted model, not a curated record.
UAGCAACCAAUGAGUACCCAGCUAGUUAAGUGUCUUGUUGGAUUUAGAACAAAUGGGCUUUCGGAAACUAACGUGUGAAAAGAGCUUCUGUGUUGCCAACUGACAUAACAACAAAGUUCCUUCUCACAGCCCACACAGAAACCACAAAGCAAGCAAGCAAUCAUCCCUCCAGCACCAGGCGAGGCUAUAACCACAGCAACGCUUUUCCGAACCAAAGACCCCCUGAGAACCAGAACUCCAUUUCCUCUUGAUUCGUCCAGCUUGUGUGCCAAGAACCAGCAGCUAUCCCUGAGACAUCAGGGCCCUCCCUUUCCACUGGCGACAUUGAAAUGUCUGCAGACACCUGCUCGAAUUGACAGAGAAACGAGAGCAGGGAGCCACGGCAGGCAGUCACGGUGCCGACAGAGUCCCCGACAACUGGAACCACAGAGCAACCAAUAACUGGUAUGGUUCUAUCUCCCAAGCUCUUCCACGAGCUCUUAGUCAUUUAGAGACGGAGUUUCUGUCCUCCUCGUCCUGCCAUGUCUGUAUUUUCUAUCCAUUACCUCCCACCAAGGGGUGAACAAAGAAAAGAAAGUAAAACUUAGUUCUGUCAA